CAGGAUGAAGGCCAGACUGAUGGUCUUGCCGAACACGCUGAGAGGAGGUGCAUGGCCGUCGUNCAGCUCGUGCCGUAAGGUGUUAGGUUAAGUCCUAAAACGAGCGAGACCCACGUUCUUAUUUGCUAUCAGGUCCUCCGGGGUCUGAGCACAAUAAGGAGACUGCCCGCUAUAAGUGGGAGGAAGGGGUGGGCAACGAUAGGUCCGCAUGCCCCGAAUCUUCCGGGCUACACGCGUCUUACAAUGACUGGUACAAUGAGUUGCGACCCCGAAAGGGGAAGCCAAUCUCGAAAACCAGCCUCGGUUCGGAUUGAGGGUUGAAACUCACCCUCAUGAAGCUGGAAUCCCUAGUAAUCGCUACUCAUUAUAUAGCGAUGAAUACGUCCCUGCUCCUUGCACACACUGUCCGUCACUCCAACCAAGCUAGGUCCAGGUGAGGAUAUGCCCCUAGGUAUGUUCAAAUCCGGGUUUAGUGAGGGGGGGGAAGUCGUAACAAGGUAACCUCAGUCAGUCAA
This 515-nucleotide ribosomal RNA is filed under the name uncultured archaeon. RNAcentral describes it as "bacterial SSU rRNA". It matches the Rfam family "Archaeal small subunit ribosomal RNA", at positions 943 to 1478 of the family's 1478-position model. The record is from RNAcentral.